GGUCACUGAGGCUUCAAGGCUGGUGGGAGGAGCACUGGACUUGGAGGCAGAAAGACC
Molecule: microRNA precursor, 57 nt
Organism: Aotus nancymaae (Ma's night monkey)
Lineage: Eukaryota; Metazoa; Chordata; Mammalia; Primates; Aotidae
Source: Ensembl